Exaiptasia diaphana is the source of this 123-nucleotide small nuclear RNA. RefSeq annotates it as U5 spliceosomal RNA. The transcript has a single exon. The record is from RefSeq and is a predicted model, not a curated record. Lineage: Eukaryota; Metazoa; Cnidaria; Anthozoa; Actiniaria; Aiptasiidae.
GCACUCUGGUUUCUCUACAUAUUUUCGCAUAUAUCUUUCGCCUUUUACUAAAGAUAUCCGUGUAGGGRAACAUUAUAAAGAGUUAGUGGAUCAAUUUUUCCAACUGCUCCGUCUAAGAGACGG